Molecule: ribosomal RNA, 253 nt
Filed under: uncultured Aquicella sp.
Lineage: Bacteria; Pseudomonadati; Pseudomonadota; Gammaproteobacteria; Legionellales; Coxiellaceae
Description: partial 16S ribosomal RNA
Rfam family: Bacterial small subunit ribosomal RNA
Source: RNAcentral
UACAGAGGGUGCGAGCGUUAAUCGGAUUUACUGGGCGUAAAGGGCGCGUAGGCGGUUGGAUGUGAGUGGUGUGAAAGCCCCGGGCUUAACCUGGGAAGCGCAUCGCAGACUAUCUGACUGGAGUAGAUGAGAGGGUGGCGGAAUUUCCGGUGUAGCGGUGAAAUGCGUAGAGAUCGGAAGGAACGUCGAUGGCGAAGGCAGCCACCUGGCAUCAUACUGACGCUGAAGCGCGAAAGCGUGGGGAUCGAACAGG